RNAcentral lists this transfer RNA (70 nucleotides) under Chamberlainia hainesiana. RNAcentral describes it as "tRNA-Arg". Lineage: Eukaryota; Metazoa; Mollusca; Bivalvia; Unionida; Unionidae. The record is from RNAcentral.
AAGAAGGACGCCGAUUACAGGCAAUAUGGUUUCGGCCCAUAACUAGAAUUAGCUAUAUAUUCCCAUCUUU